AAAAGUGAGGGCUGCAACUCUGAAAGCACUUGCCCUGUCCUCCUAUGGGGCUUGCAGCUCUAGUCUCUUAAGAAGACUCGGCUUAACAGGGGAUGGGAGGCCUCGGGGAUGGGACCAGGGACUCAGUGGUGUUGAAAUUGACUGGUGACGACCAAUGCUAGAGACCAAAGGACGUUUCCGGCAGCUGUUCCACCCGUUGGGAAACGUGCCGCAGUUCUCGAUUUCUGUUUGAAAGUUUCCUUCCUUAAAUGGAACGUUAUGUAGACGCAGGAGUGUGAACGCACAACACUCAGUUCAGGAUCCAUGUAAGGAACGAGGAGGGGAAAGAUCUGUAUCAAAAACAAUUUUUUUUAAUGUAUAAAAAAACAUGACUGGGGAAACGCUCAAUAACUGUGGACAGCAAGGACACACACUGUACAUUCCCUGAAACUUGUAAAUCAGAGUAGCUGGUGCUAACACACGCACCUACAAGCAUUUUGAGCGGGAACUGCACUUUAACCCUGGCCAGGGAGGGGUUCCGAGUGCAGCCUGGACCUGGCGGCGAGGAUUGUGAGGUUUUGGAUACUUUCUGAGGGUGCAAUCAGGCGGCAACCCAAUAACAAGGGUGUCCCGCCGCACAGCACUCCCCGGAUAACCCAGCCCCUGUAAUCUGAGCAACAGUUUCCAAAGACCUUCUCUGCAGCCGGAGCCUGACGGGUAUCCAGGGUAACCGGGAGGGGGCGGAGCUUCGGGUUAGGCCCCCGCGAGGUUCUCGCCGCAGCCAAUAACGAACCGUGUAUUCCCAGCCCAUUGUUGUUUACUGCUGACCCCGCAGCGCUCCGCUAGGAGAUUGGCCGUUUGGGGAAGGGGGCGGAGCCUCUCCCGCCCUGCAGCCACCUUUCGGCUCCAUUCACAAAAUUCCGGCUUUCUUGAUCACGUGGUUGGGGGCGUGGAGGGGCAGGGGAAAUGACACAACAAAGGCCCAAGUUUCCCAAACCACAAAACUUUUUUCUGCCUCGCUACCUCCUCUAUGUCCCGUCCCUAAACAAAUACUAGAAGACGAGGAAAAGGAGCCUUGGGUCUGGGAGCAACAACCAGAGGGAGAGAAAAAAGUUCGAAAUGAAAGGAAGGCUCACAGGGGGAUAAUUGUAGGGUGCACUGCAUACGAGAAAAGCUGCGAAAGAGGAAAGGAAGAGAAUUCAGGAGAGUGGGAGAAAGCCUUAAGGACAGACUAGUAACUUUUGCUUGCUGUUUUAGGUCACUGAUUUUACAAGUGCGAACAGUUCGAUUGUAGAUGGAGUUCAGUUUUCUCACUUAAUACUCUGUAAUUUUCAUUUCUACUUUGGAUUGAUCCCAGUUUCUUGUUAACAUUUUAAAGCUUCUUUCAGGAAUAUUGCAGGUUUUCGCUGGCUGACAGUUUUAGUUUCCAUUUCCCAAGUCAUCACACUUUCACAGGCCCCCAAAAGCACCCCCCUGUCCCCACUAGCCCUGGACUGGCAAACCGAAAGGGCACGCUAAGCCUCCAAUUUUACUACGUAUUGCGGGGGCUCCAUAUUUCGGUUUUGGAGUCUUUAAACGAACUCAACUUUUAACUAUUUGAUCUUAACAGUAAUUGAUGUUAUGUGAAUAAGCGGACAGUCUUGCUACACCUCAGUUUUGUUGAAAUAGCAUAAAAUUUUGAGAUAAAUAUGUCCCCCUAGCAAGUGAGCUAUUGAACCAGACUCCAUUCUCUCUUCUGUCCUUUCUGUGCCGUGAUGCUUCGUGAGACACAAGCUUUUAGUCUGGCUGCUGUUUAUCUUCUAUGCUUGGCACUGGGAAAAACCAAUAGACCUAGUGGCGGGAGACAUCGCAAGGGCUGAAAAUUCGUCGUUCAGAAAAUGUUACCCUUGUGGAAAAUGUCUACAGAGGCAGCUGAUGCAUCCCCAGGGAGGAACAUCAAAAGUUGCACAAAGUUUCCACUACCUUUGAAAGUGAUACCACUGAAAACCGGAGAAGUUAAGCAAUUUAAUCAAGUUCACAGAGUUAAGUUCCUGAACUCAUGAGCAAGAAAUGUCAGAUGAUCUUUCAUGUCGUUAAAUUGAAUUGAAUCUGAUCCCAAGCCUCUUCUUG
Molecule: non-coding RNA, 2088 nt
Organism: Equus caballus (horse)
Lineage: Eukaryota; Metazoa; Chordata; Mammalia; Perissodactyla; Equidae
Source: RefSeq, a predicted model, not a curated record